UUCGACGAGAAGCAAAAUGUCGUGACCAUCACGGUGGUGUGCUGCACCCCGAGAAGAUCCUUUGUGCAUUUUUAAUUUGGACUAAUUGGCUACCCUGCAUUUUUAAUGUCAAUCAUGAGGGAACUUUUGUGCAACUGUAACGUGCCUGCUAAGUCACAGGUUUGAAUCCUAGAAAUAACCUUUUUGCUUGUGGAGAUGUCUUCAUAUAUCUACUAGCUGCAAACCCAGCAGUUGGGAGCCUUAUGAAUUGGAUCCAACCUUUUUUCUUGAAGUCAUCGUCUGUGAGCCUAUGCUGAGAUUUCAUUUAUACAACAUUUUAAACAUCAUCACAAGGAAAACACAAGUCCAGAAAAAUAGCAGUUGCACUUGGAGUUAGUCUUAGUUGUGCUUCUCUCAUGGUUUUGCUCUUUGAGAUCUUUUGGUAUAGACAUAAACGACAGCACCAGGCCAUCCUGUUUAUUGGUGAAUAUAAGGAAGAGGGAAUUGUCAGCUUGGAAAAUCUCAAGACUUUCACGUUCAGAGAGCUCCAACAGGCAACAGAUAGUUUCAGUUCCAAGAACAUACUUGGGGCUGGAGGUUUUGGCAAUGUUUAUAGGGGAACAGAUAUCUUUUUAAA
Arachis stenosperma is the source of this 616-nucleotide long non-coding RNA. RefSeq lists it as uncharacterized. Lineage: Eukaryota; Viridiplantae; Streptophyta; Magnoliopsida; Fabales; Fabaceae. The transcript is spliced from 3 exons. The record is from RefSeq and is a predicted model, not a curated record.